RNAcentral lists this ribosomal RNA (248 nucleotides) under uncultured bacterium. RNAcentral describes it as "partial 16S ribosomal RNA". It matches the Rfam family "Bacterial small subunit ribosomal RNA", at positions 28 to 287 of the family's 1533-position model. The record is from RNAcentral.
GAUUAACGCUGGCGGCGUGCCUAACACAUGCAAGUCGAACGAGGUAGCAAUACCUAGUGGCAGACGGGUGAGUAACGCGUGGUCAACCUACCGUUGAGUGGGGGAUAACUAGCCGAAGGUUAGCUAAUACCGCAUACGUCUCCGAGGGGCAUCCCUUGGCGAUAAAAGGAGCAAUCCGCUCGAUGACGGGACCGCGUCCCAUUAGCUAGAUGGUGGGGUAACGGCCUACCAUGGCACCGAUGGGUAGC